Molecule: ribosomal RNA, 710 nt
Filed under: bacterium enrichment culture clone PA_16
Lineage: Bacteria
Description: bacterial SSU rRNA
Rfam family: Bacterial small subunit ribosomal RNA
Source: RNAcentral
UAGAGUUUGAUCCUGGCUCAGAAUCAACGCUGGCGGCGUGCCUAACACAUGCAAGUCGCACGAGAAAGGGGCUUCGGCUCUGAGUAAAGUGGCGCACGGGUGAGUAACACGUGAAUUAUCUACCUCCGAGUGGGGAAUAACUGAGAGAAAUCUUAGCUAAUACCGCAUAACACUUACGAGUCAAAGCAGCAAUGCGCUUGGAGAGGAGUUCGCGGCCGAUUAGUUAGUUGGCGGGGUAAUGGCCCACCAAGACGAUGAUCGGUAUCCGGCCUGAGAGGGCGCACGGACACACUGGAACUGAAACACGGUCCAGACUCCUACGGGAGGCAGCAGUGGGGAAUUUUGCGCAAUGGGGGAAACCCUGACGCAGCAACGCCGCGUGGAGGAUGAAAUCCCUUGGGAUGUAAACUCCUUUCGAUAGGGAAGAUUAUGACGGUACCUAUAGAAGAAGCCCCGGCUAACUUCGUGCCAGCAGCCGCGGUAAUACGAGGGGGGCAAGCGUUGUUCGGAAUUAUUGGGCGUAAAGGGCGCGUAGGCGGUUUGACAAGUCUGAUGUGAAAUCUCUGGGCUCAACCCAGAGUCUGCAUUAGAAACUGUCGGGCUUGAGUAUGGGAGAGGUGAGUGGAAUUUCCGGUGUAGCGGUGAAAUGCGUAGAUAUCGGAAGGAACACCUGUGGCGAAAGCGGCUCACUGGACCAUAACUGACGCUGA